UACUUUUUCCUUCAUACUUCAUUGAGUGAACUGGGCUUCCUCUUCUUCUCCUUUAGAUCUGAUCUUCGAGAUGGUGCAGGCAUAGAGAUGGCACAUAACCAAAGCUCAGCUUCUAGACACCUCCUUCUUAGAAAUCUUCUCCACAACCUAAAACUAUGCUUGCUAUCCUCUUUCUAUGUCUCUCCUAUUUUUGGAUGCUUUUUCUAUUCUCCUUAAGGUCCCUUAAAUAGAUUUCAUGACCUCCCCAGGUAUGAGACGUAUCAAGUCUUUGAUUCUCUAAUGGAAUCCUUUUUUUUUUUUUAGGAUUUAAAAUUAUAUAGCUACCUUCCGUUCAUCGCAUUGCGUGUCUGUGCGUCCAUGUCUCAGCGCCUCGCCCAGCGUAUGUAAACUCUCUGGUCUCAACUUGGACCGAACCAGCCUCGCUCGAACCCUCUGUAAGCUGCACCGCGUUAUUUCUUCAUUUGCCCAGGUUGUGAACCGCGCUGCCCAUGCACCACCAGGAUCGCGCCCACAUGACCCCAUGCACCUAGGUGCGUUUAAACC
RNAcentral lists this long non-coding RNA (543 nucleotides) under Elaeis guineensis (African oil palm). RNAcentral describes it as "long non-coding RNA (EGUI_LNC046263)". The record is from RNAcentral. Lineage: Eukaryota; Viridiplantae; Streptophyta; Magnoliopsida; Arecales; Arecaceae.